GACAGAGGGUGCAAACGUUGUUCGGAAUUACUGGGCGUAAAGCGUGUGUAGGCGGUGAGGUAAGUCGGAUGUGAAAGCCCAGGGCUCAACCCUGGAAGUGCACUCGAUACUGCUUCGCUUGAGUACUGGAGAGGUUGGUGGAAUUCUCGGUGUAGAGGUGAAAUUCGUAGAUAUCGAGAGGAACAUCUGUGGCGAAGGCGGCCAACUGGACCGGCAUUGACGCUGAGGUGCGAAAGCGUGGGGAGCAAACAGG
RNAcentral lists this ribosomal RNA (253 nucleotides) under uncultured bacterium. RNAcentral describes it as "partial 16S ribosomal RNA". It matches the Rfam family "Bacterial small subunit ribosomal RNA", at positions 524 to 776 of the family's 1533-position model. The record is from RNAcentral.